RNAcentral lists this ribosomal RNA (478 nucleotides) under uncultured bacterium. RNAcentral describes it as "partial 16S ribosomal RNA". It matches the Rfam family "Bacterial small subunit ribosomal RNA", at positions 28 to 523 of the family's 1533-position model. The record is from RNAcentral.
GACGAACGCUGGCGGCGUGCUUAACACAUGCAAGUCGAACGGUAAGGCCCUUCGGGGUACACGAGUGGCGAACGGGUGAGUAACACGUGGGUGAUCUGCCCUGCACUUUGGGAUAAGCCUGGGAAACUGGGUCUAAUACCGGAUAGGACUACGGCCUGCAUGGGUUGUGGUGGAAAGCUUUUGCGGUGUGGGAUGGGCCCGCGGCCUAUCAGCUUGUUGGUGGGGUGAUGGCCUACCAAGGCGACGACGGGUAGCCGGCCUGAGAGGGUGUCCGGCCACACUGGGACUGAGAUACGGCCCAGACUCCUACGGGAGGCAGCAGUGGGGAAUAUUGCACAAUGGGCGCAAGCCUGAUGCAGCGACGCCGCGUGAGGGAUGACGGCCUUCGGGUUGUAAACCUCUUUCAAUAGGGACGAAGCGCAAGUGACGGUACCUAUAGAAGAAGCACCGGCCAACUACGUGCCAGCCGCCGCCGUAA